This 257-nucleotide ribosomal RNA is filed under the name uncultured bacterium. RNAcentral describes it as "partial 16S ribosomal RNA". It matches the Rfam family "Bacterial small subunit ribosomal RNA", at positions 524 to 776 of the family's 1533-position model. The record is from RNAcentral.
UACGUAGGGUGCAAGCGUUUAUCCGGAAUUAUUGGGCGUAAAGGCUCGUAGGCGGUUUGUCGCGUCUGCUGUGAAAACUGGGGGGCUCAACCCCCCAGCCUGCAGUGGGUACGGGCAGACUUGAGUACUGCAGGGGAGACUGGAAUUCCUGGUGUAGCGGUGGAAUGCGCAGAUAUCAGGAGGAACACCGGUGGCGAAGGCGGGGUCUCUGGGGCCACUACUGACGCUGAGAAGCGAAAGCAUGGGGAGCAAACAGG